This 274-nucleotide ribosomal RNA is filed under the name uncultured bacterium. Its description in RNAcentral is "partial 16S ribosomal RNA". It matches the Rfam family "Bacterial small subunit ribosomal RNA", at positions 523 to 796 of the family's 1533-position model. The record is from RNAcentral.
AUACGGAGGGUGCGAGCGUUACUCGGAAUCACUGGGCGUAAAGCGCGCGCAGGCGGCUUGGUAAGUUGGAUGUGAAAGCCUACGGCUCAACCGUAGAACUGCAUCCAAAACUGUCAAGCUAGAGUGUGGGAGAGGAAGAUGGAAUUAGUUGUGUAGGGGUAAAAUCCGUAGAGAUAACUAGGAAUACCAAAAGCGAAGGCAAUCUUCUGGAACACUACUGACGCUGAGGCGCGAAAGCGUGGGGAGCAAACAGGAUUAGAAACCCUAGUAGUCC